Long non-coding RNA from Lingula anatina, 391 nucleotides. Lineage: Eukaryota; Metazoa; Brachiopoda; Lingulata; Lingulida; Lingulidae. The record is from RefSeq and is a predicted model, not a curated record.
AAUUGACGAACCGGAGUUCGUAUGGUUGAAGGGCACCGUGGACAAAACCAUGGCAACGGUAUUUGGAAGUAUCAUUCCCUCUGACGUUAUUCCCGUCUUGAAGCAUGUUCCUAUCCCUUCAUCCCUCUCGGUGAAACGACUCAUAAAGAAACUGACCGACUUCCAAAAUGUCAAACUGGCAGAGCAUAAGACAACAUUGAACUCGGGUAACCUUAGAGAUAUUAUGGAUCAAAUUUUGAUACUGAAGGAAGAAAUGGGAGCCGAGAGUGAUGACAACGCAAAAGAGUCGCUUACUGACACUCGCAUACGCCACACCCUAUUGGAUAUAUUCUUUGGUGGAACGCAGACCACGGUUGACACGUUGAAGUGGAUGAUUAUGUAUGUAGCCGAU